Kogia breviceps (pygmy sperm whale) is the source of this 2320-nucleotide non-coding RNA. NCBI's taxonomy places the organism in Eukaryota, Metazoa, Chordata, Mammalia, Artiodactyla, Physeteridae. The record is from RefSeq and is a predicted model, not a curated record.
GCUGAGGGGAGGGGAGCAGGAAGGAGACUAGGGCUGGUCUGGGAGGGCUUUGGCAGCCAAAUGAAGCAGCCCUUUGCUUGCUGCUGUGACCAAGUAGGACUUCAUAUUCCCUUCCUUAUUUUACUUUUGAGGCCAGGGACUCUCAGAGAGUUUAAAUGGCUUUCCUAAAAUCAAAUGACUAUGUAUUGACAAGGCCACUGUAUCUUCUUUGGGUUCCCCCGGAAUCAGACCUUGUCACAGGAGUUCAUUAUUUGGAGGAUAAGUGGAGGAAGCACCAGCAAGGAACUGGGAAGGGGAGCAAGGAGAGAAGACUGCUGAUAAAAGGCUUUCAGCUUUUCAGAUAGAAUAUGAUUAUGCGGCAGCUCAGACCUGAGAAGACUCUUUGGGAAAUUCUGCUAAGGAUUUAACCAAUGCCAAAACCAUAUGCCGACAGUUUCAGGAGCAAUGGUACUCAUGGUUAAGGAACGGGGACUCUCUCCCUAGGCUCCAGCUGCAGAAGCCUCUCCUAACCAUUUGUAGAAACAUCCAUCCAAAUGCGAGUCUGACCAUGUCUCUUCUGAAGACCUCUUCCCGGCAGCUCACUGGCUGUUAGUUCAAGGCUGGGCGUGACAGUGGGUGUGAUACAGGUGGCUCUGGCCUGCUGAUGACCUCCAGCAGGAUCUGCUCCCAUCAUGCUUGCCUCCUAUGACCUCGCCCAUCUAACUCACCAAUAACCCUUCUUUGAGUUUUAUAGGAAGAGAUACUACUUCAUGCUUUCAUUUGCAUCUGUUGUUUUCUUUGCUUCCAAGAAAGCCCUGCCCCGCUUCUUCCUCCACUCUCUCUUCUCCUACAGAUUGCCUCGUCACCUCUAUUUCUCCUUCAGAACAAGCUCAAAUGUCAGUUUCUGCAGGGCCCUCUCUUUAAGACUCCUUGCACCUCCAGGAUUAAAAGCUCUCUCCUUUUUCUAUUUCUGCAUCCUUCUCACACUUUAUACUGUAUCAGAUUGUUUGUUCAAUUUGUUUAUGUGUCCUCUUUCAUUCAUAAGCUUGAUGAAAACAGGGUCCAGCUUUUUAUUAGUCUCUAUUAGUCUCAUCAACUAGACAGAGUCUGGUACAUCAUCAACAAUCAUUAUUUGUUGUAUGAAUGAAUCCUAAACUUUAGGUUUAGCAAUUAUUCAAUAUUCAGUAAAUGUCCAUUUAUUCAAUUAAAAUAAAUUAUUCAAUAAAUUUUAGAAAACCUGAACUCCUCAGCUACACUGUAGGAUAAACUUUGUAAAUAAAGGUGCUCUUUCUCAGUCCAUAGCUUUGAGAUCCAAAACAGGACCAUGGACAAUCAUUUUAGCUCCUGGCUGAGUCUUCAAUCCUAUAAUUAUUUAUGAUUCUAUCUUUCAAAUUCCCAUGAUAUUCCUAUUGUAAACUUCUCAGAAAUCUCAAUCAGGCAAAGGAAGCAAACACAUUGAAGUCUGAUUUAAACUUUUUUGGUCUCUUGGGGCUUCUGGUCAGAUGAAGAAAGAAGUUACAGGACAGGCAGAUUUAGUAGAGUACAAGUUUUCUACAGACAGUGGUUAAGACGACACUGUCCGUGAUAAAACAGAAACAAGAAAAUCCUAGGUCAGAGAACGCUGUAGAGAGUGGCUGCCAUCACACUCUCCAUCAACAUAAGUCCUGCUAAUUCUCUGAUUCAUGUCUCCAUUUGAUAUGAAGUGUUACAGUCAUCUCCUCUCCUUCUUGAUCUCAUGCAUAAAUAAAUCUUUCCUUGGAAACAGAGAAGUAGAUUUCUUGUCAGUACCCCCUCAGAGACUUCACUGAACUGGGAGUGAUUCAUUCCAUGUGGCGUCAAGCCUCUUUGUUAGAUUAAUGUCUCAUUGAAGUUGUACAAGUGACUAACAGAUGGGAAAGUUUUCUGGAGAAAGUAAGUUGGUUGCUUGUAAGUUUUGAGUCUGUUCGAAGAAUCUCUGAGAUCUGCUCUUGCUGUGUUUUUCAUUUUGAUCUGAUAUUGUUAAUUCGAAACUGGCUUAAAAGUACCCUAGAAGUUUAGAUUUGCUCUUCUCCUGCACGUUUUAAACUAGAGGACUUCUGCCUUUAAACCAAUUCUGCAGAUCAAGAGAGUUUAUUAAAAUUAAGCAGUAGCCUCUGAAUGUGUGACUAUUUUAUGAGCGUUAAAUGGAGUCAACAGUUUGCAGUACUUAGAACAUGGCUCCUGGAUUAAGAAACCUUGAGAAUAGGGGUCCUUUUUACUGCUAUUGAUAUUUUCUUACUGCUCCCUCGCCCCCUUAUUCAGUUCUGCCCCAAGGCUCUGUUUUGGGUUAAUAACACCCUCUCUGGCCUCAUUUGGACUAGCA